CCUACGGGUGGCAGCAGUAGGGAAUAUUGCUCAAUGGGGGAAACCCUGAAGCAGCAACGCCGCGUGGAGGAUGACGGUUUUCGGAUUGUACACUCCUUUUGUUAGAGAAGAUAAUGACGGUAUCUAACGAAUAAGCACCGGGUAACUCCGUGCCAGCAGCCGCGGUAAUAAGGAGGGUGGAAGCGUUACCCGGAGUCAGUGGGCGUAAAGCGCGCGUAGGCGGGAUAGCAAGUCAGAUGUGAAAUCCUAUGGCUUAACCAUAGAACUGCAUUUGAAACUGUUAUGCUAGAGUAUGGGAGAGGUAGGUGGAAUGCUUGGUGUAGGGGUAAAAUCCGUAGAGAUCAAGAGGAAUACUCAUUGCGAAGGCGACCUGCUAGAACAUAACUGACGCUGAUGCGCGAAAGCGUGGGGAGCAAACAGGAUUAGAUACCCGGGUAGUC
RNAcentral lists this ribosomal RNA (440 nucleotides) under uncultured bacterium. RNAcentral's name for it is "partial 16S ribosomal RNA". It matches the Rfam family "Bacterial small subunit ribosomal RNA", at positions 338 to 795 of the family's 1533-position model. The record is from RNAcentral.